UAAGCAGGCAGUGAAAGGUCCCGGCUCAACCGGGGAUACAUUGUCUGAACUGCUAAGCUAGAGCAUGAGAGAGGUAACUGGAAUUCCUAGUGUAGGAGUGAAAUCCGUAGAUAUUAGGAGGAACACCGAUGGCGUAGGCAGGUUACUGGCUCAUUGCUGACACUAAGGCACGAAAGCGUGGGAGCGAACGGGAUUAGAUACCCCGGUAGUCCACGCCGUAAACUAUGGAUGCUA
Molecule: ribosomal RNA, 234 nt
Filed under: uncultured Candidatus Saccharibacteria bacterium
Lineage: Bacteria; Candidatus Saccharimonadota
Description: partial 16S ribosomal RNA
Rfam family: Bacterial small subunit ribosomal RNA
Source: RNAcentral